AACGAACGCUGGCGGCAGGCCUAACACAUGCAAGUCGAACGCCGUAGCAAUACGGAGUGGCAGACGGGUGAGUAACACGUGGGAACGUACCCUUCGGUUCGGAAUAACUCAGGGAAACUUGAGCUAAUACCGGAUACGUCCGAGAGGAGAAAGAUUUAUCGCCGAGGGAUCGGCCCGCGUCUGAUUAGCUUGUUGGUGAGGUAACGGCUCACCAAGGCGACGAUCAGUAGCUGGUCGAGAGGAUGAUCAGCCACAUUGGGACUGAGACACGGCCCAAACUCCUACGGGAGGCAGCAGUGAGGAAUUUCGUCAAUGGGGGCAACCCUGAACGAGCAACGCCGCGUGCAGGA
This 350-nucleotide ribosomal RNA is filed under the name uncultured bacterium. RNAcentral's name for it is "bacterial SSU rRNA". It matches the Rfam family "Bacterial small subunit ribosomal RNA", at positions 29 to 408 of the family's 1533-position model. The record is from RNAcentral.